UGUCCGAUCUCAUGACUGUUAUACAAGACUCUGCAGAUUUCACUCGGUUAGGAGCAACGAAGAGCAAGCAGAUGGCAAGCAAUAUUGUACCCGCAGGCAGCAAGAGGCCCAGAGACCCCUCUACUCAGGUGGAUUCGGAGGAUGAGGCACAGAAAAGCUGUCGUCAUCUACUCGAUGCUCUAAUCGAAGGCUUUACAGAAGAGGAUAGGAAAUUUAUGAGGGAUGGGAAUGGCAGAGAGGUGCUGGAAGACGUAGCCGUGAUUUUUGGCAUGAACACAAAACACACCCCAGAGCUAGUUCAAGUUCUGAACGAUCUCGAGAGAUUCAGGUACGAUUGUAAAAUCAGGUAUUCUAUAAUCACGUACACUUGGGGAAGCGGUGGAACAAUAGCAAGUGAAGUGCCUGAUGAAACCAUACCAUACCAGGAUAUUCGAGAGUAUCUGAAAAGCCACGCUGCUACAACAAAUCUUGUGCGGGAGUUGAGGGGAAACGAUAGAAGUUGUCUGGUUUACUUCAGUUUCGUUGAUAGCGACACUUUCAGCUUCAACUCCAUCUACAGUGAAUACUUGCAAAUUGUGAGAAAGGAGCUGAAAAACGAUCCGCCCAUCCCACCCACCGUCAUGUCGACCGGUUACGAGUUCACCCACGAGCGUGAGCAUCACAUUGCAAGUGACCUGGACCUCCAGAUUCGUACAGCCUUAGCAGAGGUCAAUGCUCUCUUCGUGUAUUACCCAGAACCCAACUUCUGCGUUCUAGUGAAGGAGGAAAAGGACACCAUAGAGGAGAGUUUUAUAAUCAAGAAAAACAGGGGCAAAAAGGAUUACAAAAUGGAGUCGUGCACUCUGAUCAGGCAGGUCAAGGAACGUGUCAAUUUUAAAGCUAUGUUUGGCAAAGGAAAGCCCAUCAUCAUCGUUGCACCAGAAAGAUUUAAGCUAAGUAAAGAUGGUCUAAUCCUAAAAGGCCUGAUUAUCAACCAGUCAACUCUGAAUAAGAGGAAUUUGGCAUCUGGUGCAUACUGCAAUGGAUUGCUCAAAUGUAGGGAAACAUAUAAUGGGGUGGAUUUACCAAAUGACCCCAAAACGCAGUUAGGAGUAUAUUAUAAAAACUUAAAUUUCAUCAAGGACUUAUAUAAAUGUAGUGAUGAAAGGAGCUUUGAAGAGCUGAGUAAAAAAAAUCCAUUCAGCAUGGAUGGAGGAGACGCAACGGAGCUAGUCGAAGCUAUUAGACAAGCAAGAGAAUGCAGAAAGGUUUUUGAAGAACUCGAUAGAAACUUCUCAAAUCUUUAGAUUGAAAUCUGCUUCUUAUCUGUUAUUAGAUGGUGCACUCAUCUGAAUCGGGAACAGCCACAAUAAUUAAAAGAGAUGCUUUUGUUGGUUUGAUUGUUUCUAUUGUCCUCAUUUGUAAGCCGCUGUGAAAAGCAUCUGCUAAAUGGCAUGCACAUAGUAUGCAAAUUGAGUUUUGAUGCUGUGUAACAUUUUUAUGAAUUCUGCAUAGCCUAUGUUAUUCCUGUAUACAUCAAAUGUUAAUAAAGUGGCAUCUAAUGAUGUUUUUUUUAUGUGCUAGAUAAUUAAGAUAUGAAUUAUUCACUCUUUUACAUUUAUUUCCCGU
Molecule: long non-coding RNA, 1608 nt
Organism: Sinocyclocheilus grahami
Lineage: Eukaryota; Metazoa; Chordata; Actinopteri; Cypriniformes; Cyprinidae
Source: Ensembl